GGGCCAUUAGCUCAAUUGGCGGAGCAGGACACUCUUAAUGUCAAGGCCGCAGGUCCGACUCCUGCAUGGCCCA
RNAcentral lists this transfer RNA (73 nucleotides) under Candidatus Sherwoodlollariibacterium unditelluris. Its description in RNAcentral is "Candidatus Omnitrophica bacterium CG23_combo_of_CG06-09_8_20_14_all_41_10 tRNA-Lys". It matches the Rfam family "tRNA". From Rfam's summary of the family: Transfer RNA (tRNA) molecules are approximately 80 nucleotides in length. Lineage: Bacteria; Pseudomonadati; Candidatus Omnitrophota. The record is from RNAcentral.